Long non-coding RNA from Lathyrus oleraceus (garden pea), 157 nucleotides. RefSeq lists it as uncharacterized. The record is from RefSeq and is a predicted model, not a curated record. NCBI's taxonomy places the organism in Eukaryota, Viridiplantae, Streptophyta, Magnoliopsida, Fabales, Fabaceae. The transcript has 3 exons.
GUUGGUGAGAAGGGGAAUGCGGCGGAUUUGUGGUUGGAGAGGGAGAUGAUGAGUGGAGAGGUUGGUUGGUUGGUUUUGGUUUCGGAUGAUCGGGAAUUUGCGGAGAUGUUGAGGAAGGUUAGGGAAGCGAAUUUGAAGACUGUUGUUGUUGGAGAUU